RNAcentral lists this unclassified non-coding RNA (229 nucleotides) under plant metagenome. Its description in RNAcentral is "partial contains small subunit ribosomal RNA, internal transcribed spacer 1, and 5.8S ribosomal RNA". The record is from RNAcentral.
UUUCCGUAGGUGAACCUGCGGAAGGAUCAUUACUGAGUGUUCACGAAAGUGAUAUCUCCCACCCUAUGUUUAAUUGACCUGUUGCUUCGGCGAAUCGUCGCAAGACUGUCGGCCUUCUCUUUCGAGGGCGGGCAAGUUAUUCGCCGAAGAUACAAACUCUUCGAAUUAUGUUGUCUGAGUAUAGAAAACAAACAAAUAAAAACUUUUAACAACGGAUCUCUUGGUUCUG